AUGAAUUGGGCUUGGAAAAUACUCGAUCCAGCAACUCCUUUGUUCUACAUUUUGGUUCAGCCUUACACACUUCACCGGAGAAUUGCCACCGCACCUAAAAAACAAGAGUUUCAAUUGUAUAAAGAAAUCCAUGUAUGUGUGACAGAACCUUUACACGAGGAGGGCAACAGCGUCGACAUGGCGAUCGAGUCACUCCUGAAUGCGGAGAAGCAGUGUUGCCUGGCUGGCGACGUGGCCAGCACUAGGAAGGACAUCGUCGAGCUCUCCUUCAAGGAUGGCGCCUGGAAGACGCUUAACUACCAGAUCGUUCUCCUCUCUAAGAGGAGGAGGGGCCAGCUCAAGUAG
This 345-nucleotide ribosomal RNA is filed under the name Triticum aestivum (bread wheat). Its description in RNAcentral is "partial small subunit ribosomal RNA". Lineage: Eukaryota; Viridiplantae; Streptophyta; Magnoliopsida; Poales; Poaceae. The record is from RNAcentral.